CCUUACCUAUUACUAGCUUCACUUUCUCUGUCAGGACUCUGUCUUUGUUCACCAGUGGUCCCUUUUUUCCCUGUGACGGAGCAUGUUGUCAUUUUUUCUAAGGUGGAAAUGGAGUCCAUCACAGUUCUGAGUAACAUAAGUGUAUGGAAUUGAAACGACAUAAGGUUGAGUGUGAAUCAUCCACUAUCUGAAAAAGAAGUGUAUGGAGUGUUGAGGUCAGCAGUAUUUUAAAUAAUGAUUAUGAAAAAUUGCACAUCUAUCAGCUGUUUACAAACCCAGGUAUUGCUAGUGCAGGAGUUUUUUAACGGUAUGAUAGCUAGUACCCCAUAUGAUAAAGUUUUAGCGAGAGACCCGUUUCCUAAAGUUUUUAUCCAUAUUUUGUAAAGAAACAUUGUAAUUAUGUUUUCAGCAAUUUUUUUACAAACUCAAAUACUUUGCUACUACUGUGUAUACGUUUACCAUUUUUGAUUUGUCUUUUCCCUUGAAAUUUGCUGGGGAAUCUCUUACUGUACGUUCACACCGCCGCCGACUUGAGCUUCCAAAGUUACCGGAAGUCAUUCAUUUACAAUGAAAGCUGACUUCUAUCAGCUGCAAGGAGCGUCAAAUCCAUCGGCGUUGCGUUUUGAGCGACCAGAGCAUCAAUCAAAAAGUUGAAAGAAGCUCAAAUUUAUGGUAAUGAGGUAUGACGGGGUUCAGCGGCAAGCAGCAGCAAAACACCAGCAACCAAUCAGAAUAUAGCCUAGACAUUCUUCGCUAGCUGAUUCCGAAGAAACAUUUCAUGGUGACAAAGACUUCAGAGCGGCCAAAGCUUCAACAAGCUUCCGCGUACUUAUUGACAAAUGUCCUUGACCAGGCGGCCUGAGCUUUUUUGGAAGCUCAAGUCGGCAGCAGUGUUAACGUACAUUAGACCACAACCUGAGGGACCCCAGUUUGAAAAAACCGUGCUCUAGUGGACCAAACUGUCUAUUACACAAUGGCUCUGUUUACAUGCACAAAAUUUUCUCAAUCCGACUGAAUUUAAUACGAUUGAAAGUUACGACGAUACAGUUUACAUGCACCCUAAACACUGCAAUCUGAUUUAAAUGUUCGUUUACAUGUACAUUAUAUAGAAUCCGAACCGACAGUCUGCACAAGCACACCGCCAGCGUUGCCAGACUCGCAUAUCAAAACCAUCCGAAUGGAUGUUCAAAACUAGCCCAAAAGCCCACUGACUAUUCACAGCCCAAAUACCAAGAACUAAGCAACGAAAUAAUUUAAUCUUUAACCCGCAGAAAAAACAACUGCUGGAAACAGUUUAAACAGUAGCCCAAAUCUAAACUCGAAAAAAAGCAGAGGACUUGGCCACGCUACGCUGCGGACAGCAUCUCUCGUCGAGUUCACGCUUUAUCUCUGGAUAAAAGUUAAAACUGAGUUAGAAAGUUGUUCUUAAGAAGUUUUCAGAUAUAGGUAAUGAAAACACACAUUUUAAAAGGCACAACGCUAUAUUAAUUACUUUAAGUAGCCUAAUGUUUUAAAAG
Non-coding RNA from Paramisgurnus dabryanus, 1517 nucleotides. Lineage: Eukaryota; Metazoa; Chordata; Actinopteri; Cypriniformes; Cobitidae. The record is from RefSeq and is a predicted model, not a curated record.